This 520-nucleotide ribosomal RNA is filed under the name uncultured Glomus. RNAcentral's name for it is "SSU rRNA". It matches the Rfam family "Eukaryotic small subunit ribosomal RNA", at positions 569 to 1091 of the family's 1831-position model. The record is from RNAcentral. Lineage: Eukaryota; Fungi; Glomeromycota; Glomeromycetes; Glomerales; Glomeraceae.
AGCAGCCGCAGUAAUUCCAGCUCCAAUAGCGUAUAUUAAAGUUGUUGCAGUUAAAAAGCUCGUAGUUGAAUUUCGGGAUUAGUACGCUGGUCGUGCCUUCGGUAUGUACUGGUGUUACUGGUUCCUACCUUCUGACGAACCGUCAUGUCAUUAAUUUGGUGUGGCGGGAAAUCAGGACUGUUACUUUGAAAAAAAUUAGAGUGUUUAAAGCAGGCUCGCGCUUGAAUACAUUAGCAUGGAAUAAUGAAAUAGGACGUUCGAUCCUAUUUUGUUGGUUUCUAGGAUUGACGUAAUGAUUAAUAGGGAUAGUUGGGGGCAUUAGUAUUCAAUUGUCAGAGGUGAAAUUCUUGGAUUUAUUGAAGACUAACUACUGCGAAAGCAUUUGCCAAGGAUGUUUUCAUUAAUCAAGAACGAAAGUUAGGGGAUCGAAGACGAUCAGAUACCGUCGUAGUCUUAACCAUAAACUAUGCCGACUAGGGAUCGGAUGAUGUUAUUUUUAAUGACUCAUUCGGCGCCUUAA